UCAAAGUGCCAUUCGGGCUGUAAAACCCAGU
This 31-nucleotide non-coding RNA is filed under the name Rattus norvegicus (Norway rat). Lineage: Eukaryota; Metazoa; Chordata; Mammalia; Rodentia; Muridae. The record is from RNAcentral.